GACGAACGCUGGCGGCGUGCUUAACACAUGCAAGUCGAACGAAGAGCGAUGGAAGCUUGCUUCUAUCAAUCUUAGUGGCGAACGGGUGAGUAACGCGUAAUCAACCUGCCCUUCAGAGGGGGACAACAGUUGGAAACGACUGCUAAUACCGCAUACGAUCUAAUCUCGGCAUCGAGGAUAGAUGAAAGGUGGCCUCUACACGUAAGCUAUCACUGAAGGAGGGGAUUGCGUCUGAUUAGCUAGUUGGAGGGGUAACGGCCCACCAAGGCGAUGAUCAGUAGCCGGUCUGAGAGGAUGAACGGCCACAUUGGGACUGAGACACGGCCCAGACUCCUACGGGAGGCAGCAGUGGGGAAUCUUCCGCAAUGGACGAAAGUCUGACGGAGCAACGCCGCGUGAGCGAUGACGGCCUUCGGGUUGUAAAGCUCUGUUAAUCGGGACGAAAGGCCUUCUUGCGAAUAGUGAGAAGGAUUGACGGUACCGGAAUAGAAAGCCACGGCUAACUACGUG
Molecule: ribosomal RNA, 510 nt
Filed under: uncultured bacterium
Lineage: Bacteria
Description: partial 16S ribosomal RNA
Rfam family: Bacterial small subunit ribosomal RNA
Source: RNAcentral